UACGAAGGGGGCUAGCGUUGCUCGGAAUUACUGGGCGUAAAGGGAGCGUAGGCGGACAGUUAAGUCAGUGGUGAAAGCCCGGAGCUCAACUCCGGAACUGCCAUUGAAACUGUAAGACUUGAGGAUGAGAGAGGUGAGUGGAAUUCCCAGUGUAGAGGUGAAAUUCGUAGAUAUUGGGAAGAACACCGGUGGCGAAGGCGGCUCACUGGCUCAUAUCUGACGCUCAGGCGCGACAGCGUGGGGAUCAAACAGG
This 253-nucleotide ribosomal RNA is filed under the name uncultured bacterium. RNAcentral describes it as "partial 16S ribosomal RNA". It matches the Rfam family "Bacterial small subunit ribosomal RNA", at positions 524 to 776 of the family's 1533-position model. The record is from RNAcentral.